Molecule: ribosomal RNA, 440 nt
Filed under: uncultured bacterium
Lineage: Bacteria
Description: partial 16S ribosomal RNA
Rfam family: Bacterial small subunit ribosomal RNA
Source: RNAcentral
CCUACGGGUGGCAGCAGUGGGGGAUAUUGCACAAUGGGGGGAACCCUGAUGCAGCGACGCCGCGUGAGUGAAGAAGCGCCUCGGCGUGUAAAGCUCUGUCAGCAGGGAAGAAAAUGACCGUACCUGGAGUAGAAGCCCCCGCUAAAUACGUGCCAGCAGCCGCGGUAAUACGUAGGGGGCCAGCGUUAUCCGGAUUUACUGGGGGUAAAGGGGGCGCAGACGGCGAUGCAAGUCAGGAGUGAAAGCCCGGGGCCCAACCCCGGGACUGCUGUUGGAACUGCGUGGCUGGAGUGCAGGAGGGGCAGGCGGAAUUCCUGGUGUAGCGGUGAAAUGCGUAGAUAUCAGGAGGAACACCGGUGGCGAAGGCGGCUUGCUGGACUGCAACUGACGUUGAGGCCCGAAAGCGUGGGGAGCAAACAGGAUUAGAUACCCUGGUAGUC